Acetobacteraceae bacterium SCN 69-10 is the source of this 62-nucleotide non-coding RNA. The record is from Rfam. NCBI's taxonomy places the organism in Bacteria, Pseudomonadati, Pseudomonadota, Alphaproteobacteria, Acetobacterales, Acetobacteraceae.
GAUUGACGAGGGGAUGGAGUCCCCCUUGAACCGCCGCAGAGGCUGAUGACUCCUGUCGCGCA